This 439-nucleotide ribosomal RNA is filed under the name uncultured bacterium. RNAcentral's name for it is "partial 16S ribosomal RNA". It matches the Rfam family "Bacterial small subunit ribosomal RNA", at positions 338 to 795 of the family's 1533-position model. The record is from RNAcentral.
CCUAGGGGCGCUCCAGUGAGGAAUAUUGCACAAUGGGGGGAACCCUGAUGCAGCGACGCCGCGUGGAGGAUGACGCAUUUCGGUGUGUAAACUCCUUUUAUAUGUCAAGAAAAUGACGGUAGCAUAUGAAUAAGCACCGGCUAACUCCGUGCCAGCAGCCGCGGUAAUACGGAGGGUGCAAGCGUUACUCGGAAUCACUGGGCGUAAAGGACGCGUAGGCGGGUUGGAAAGUCAGGUGUGAAAUCCUACAGCUUAACUGUAGAACUGCACUUGAAACUUCUAAUCUAGAGUAUGGGAGGGGGAGAUGGAAUUAGUGGUGUAGGGGUAAGAUCCGUAGAUAUCACUAGGAAUACCUAAAGCGAAGGCGAUCUCCUGGAACAUUACUGACGCUAAGGCGUGAAAGCGUGGGGAGCAAACAGGAUUAGAUACCCGUGUAGUC